GAUGAACGCUAGCUACAGGCUUAACACAUGCAAGUCGAGGGGCAGCAUGAACUUAGCUUGCUAAGUUUGAUGGCGACCGGCGCACGGGUGAGUAACACGUAUGCAACCUGCCCCUGUCAGGGGGACAACCCGCCGAAAGGCGGGCUAAACCCGCGUACAUGCCACCGGGGCAUCCCGGAGGCAGGAAAGGCUUCGGCCGGACAGGGAUGGGCAUGCGGCGCAUUAGGCAGUAGGCGGGGUAACGGCCCACCUAACCGACGAUGCGUAGGGGUUCUGAGAGGAAGGUCCCCCACACUGGUACUGAGACACGGACCAG
RNAcentral lists this ribosomal RNA (316 nucleotides) under uncultured bacterium. RNAcentral describes it as "bacterial SSU rRNA". It matches the Rfam family "Bacterial small subunit ribosomal RNA", at positions 28 to 334 of the family's 1533-position model. The record is from RNAcentral.